UCCUUUUAAUAAAAAUGAGUGGGAUAAAAAUAAGAAGUAUGGCGGUCUUUGAUCUUGUCAGAGGGACAUGUAUUCAAUAAACGAAUUUGCACGAAAAUCUGUCCUAAUUUAGAAUAAUUCAUUUUGUACACCGCUGUCUGAAAGACAUUACGUAGGUAUUUUCUUUCUUCUUUUAUAAGAAGUAAGGCAAGUUAAGGUGCAGAUUAUAAUUAGGGUAAUAUGUGUUCCAAUAGAAAUUAUGUACUAUUAAUUGAAAAGUUCUAGGCAAAGAGAAUUUGAUAGUAAGAUUAAUAAUUAAGUUGAUCUGAAAUUGGGCUAUAGAAGGUGU
Molecule: ribosomal RNA, 328 nt
Filed under: Guimaraesiella petilorica
Lineage: Eukaryota; Metazoa; Arthropoda; Insecta; Psocodea; Philopteridae
Description: partial small subunit ribosomal RNA
Source: RNAcentral